RNAcentral lists this ribosomal RNA (208 nucleotides) under uncultured bacterium. Its description in RNAcentral is "partial 16S ribosomal RNA". It matches the Rfam family "Bacterial small subunit ribosomal RNA", at positions 568 to 774 of the family's 1533-position model. The record is from RNAcentral.
CUCGUAGGCGGUUCAGUAAGUCGGGUGUGAAAACUCUGGGCUCAACCCAGAGACGCCACCCGAUACUGCUGUGACUUGAGUACGGUAGGGGAGCGGGGAAUUCCUGGUGUAGCGGUGAAAUGCGCAGAUAUCAGGAGGAACACCAGCGGCGAAGGCGCCGCUCUGGGCCGAAACUGACGCUGAGGAGCGAAAGCAUGGGUAGCAAACA